UCUCCGUUGGUGAACCAGCGGAGGGAUCAUUACUGGAAUCGCAAGAUCCCACAACCCUGUGAACCUACCGAAACGUUGCCUCGGCGGGUGCCCGGCCUCUGCUCCAGGCGAUGUGCCCGCCGGCGGCCCCCUACUCUGUCUCUGCAGCGUGGCAUCUCAGAUUCCCAGAAAACAAGUAAAAACUUUCAACAACGGAUCUCUUGGCUCUA
RNAcentral lists this unclassified non-coding RNA (209 nucleotides) under plant metagenome. RNAcentral describes it as "partial contains small subunit ribosomal RNA, internal transcribed spacer 1, and 5.8S ribosomal RNA". The record is from RNAcentral.